This 600-nucleotide small RNA is filed under the name Pan troglodytes (chimpanzee). RNAcentral describes it as "retained intron". The record is from RNAcentral. Lineage: Eukaryota; Metazoa; Chordata; Mammalia; Primates; Hominidae.
ACUGCUGUCGCGAGACUUCCUGCUCAUCUGCCGCUCCCUUUGCCGCCGCCUUAGCCCGGGACCCGAACCCAGCCUCUCCCCUACCCGAACACCGGCCCCGGCUCCACCGAGGCCCGGGUCCCCCAGCCCCGUCUCGCCGCCGCCAUGGCGGACCCUAAAUACGCCGACCUUCCCGGCAUUGCCAGGAAUGAGCCAGAUGUUUAUGAAACCAGCGACCUACCUGAGGAUGAUCAAGCGGAGUUCGAUGCGGAGGAGCUGACAAGCACAAGUGUGGAACACAUCAUUGUCAAUCCUAAUGCUGCCUAUGACAAGUUCAAGGACAAGAGAGUGGGGACAAAGGGACUUGGUGAGACUGGGCUGGAAGCUGGGUGGGGGGAAGACUGGAGGAUAAGCAUGAGAAGUGGUUUCCUGUCCUAAAGUCUUAGCGAGUUGCGCUUGGGGGAAGGGGUCCCUCAUGGAGAUAUUUUAUGGAAGCCCUCACAGUCACCUGAGACCAUGACUGCCUUGGGCCUAGAUCAGGCCCUCAGUUCCAUCUUCUUUUCUUGGCAGAUUUCUCAGAUCGUAUUGGAAAAACCAAGAGGACAGGAUAUGAAUCUGGAG